Molecule: ribosomal RNA, 272 nt
Filed under: uncultured bacterium
Lineage: Bacteria
Description: partial 16S ribosomal RNA
Rfam family: Bacterial small subunit ribosomal RNA
Source: RNAcentral
GUACCUACGGGACGCAGCAGUGAGGAAUAUUGGUCAAUGGACGCAAGUCUGAACCAGCCAUGCCGCGUGCAGGAAGACGGCUCUAUGAGUUGUAAACUGCUUUUGUACGAGGGUAAAUCCCGAUACGUGUAUCGGGUUGAAAGUAUCGUACGAAUAAGGAUCGGCUAACCCCGUGCCAGCAGCCGCGGUAAUACGGAGGAUUCAAGCGUUAUCCGGAUUUAUUGGGUUUAAAGGGUGCGUAGGCGGCUCGCUAAGAUAGAGGUGAAAUACCG